RNAcentral lists this ribosomal RNA (595 nucleotides) under uncultured bacterium. RNAcentral's name for it is "bacterial SSU rRNA". It matches the Rfam family "Bacterial small subunit ribosomal RNA", at positions 194 to 809 of the family's 1533-position model. The record is from RNAcentral.
ACAGUGUGAAAAACUCCGGUGGUAUGAGAUGGACCCGCGUUGGAUUAGGCAGUUGGCGGGGUAACGGCCCACCAAACCGACGAUCAGUAGCCGGCCUGAGAGGGUGAACGGCCACAUUGGGACUGAGACACGGCCCAAACUCCUACGGGAGGCAGCAGUGGGGAAUAUUGCACAAUGGGGGAAACCCUGAUGCAGCGACGCCGCGUGAGUGAAGAAGUAAUUCGUUAUGUAAAGCUCUAUCAGCAGGGAAGAAAAUGACGGUACCUGACUAAGAAGCCCCGGCUAACUACGUGCCAGCAGCCGCGGUAAUACGUAGGGGGCAAGCGUUAUCCGGAUUUACUGGGUGUAAAGGGAGCGUAGACGGCCGUGCAAGUCUGAUGUGAAAGGCUGGGGCUCAACCCCGGGACUGCAUUGGAAACUGUAUGGCUGGAGUGCCGGAGAGGUAAGCGGAAUUCCUAGUGUAGCGGUGAAAUGCGUAGAUAUUAGGAGGAACACCAGUGGCGAAGGCGGCUUACUGGACGGUAACUGACGUUGAGGCUCGAAAGCGUGGGGAGCAAACAGGAUUAGAUACCCUGGUAGUCCACGCCGUAAACGA